GUUGUUUAACAUGAGGCAGAAGACCGUUGGUAUGAAAAAAAAAAAGCUACCACGUCGCUUCCUCUUCUGACGUGGCAAGAGGGUCUAUCCUGAGGAGGCUGAGCUCUCACGGGACACUCACGAUGGUAAUGACAGAGGAUCGGAGCCUCAAAGAAACCACAAAAUCAGUUCUGCCCCAUCUCCUGGCCUGCGAGCAAAGGGCCACUGCCAGGCCUUGUGGCAGUCAAAGCCAGCUUGGUGGUGACCACUGAUUGCCCCGGGUCCGAGCUGAGCAAGCGCUGCUGUCUGUUGCCUGUACGAGUCACUAACACAAAGCAAAGAGGAUGUGCUGGAGCAUAUGGAGCCAGAGGAGGUCGUUUCUGGAGUCCUUGUAAACCACUUCAGAGCCUUCGGCGUUUCCUGCUCCUCUAACGGGGCUGUUUGAAAAUCCUGGUCGCUGUGGAUAGUGAAAGUAAAACAUCACCGAGUGUUCUAUCAGACGCCAGCCAGCUCCAAAGGAUCCCUGCAAAAGGGAUCCUCAGCGGCAUGAAAUCUCUGCAGCAUCGGUGAAACUAUCACUAGCGUAUUACGCCCCAGUUCUGCUGUCCACACUUCAUGAAGAACGAUCCCAGGCUGGAGUUGCUGGUUCCAGGGCCUCUGUUAUGCAGGAGCUGAGACUAGAUGACAGCAGCCCCUUCUUGUCUCUUAAAACCUCUGCAGCGUCUGAGAC
Long non-coding RNA from Mauremys reevesii (Reeves's turtle), 709 nucleotides. RefSeq lists it as uncharacterized. Lineage: Eukaryota; Metazoa; Chordata; Testudines; Geoemydidae. The transcript has 4 exons. The record is from RefSeq and is a predicted model, not a curated record.